UGGAUAACCUGCCCUCGGCACCGGAAUAGCCCGGGGAAACUCGGAUUAAUGCCGGAUAGCCCCACAGCCCGCAGGGGCGGUGGGAAAAGGUAGCUUCGGCCUCUGGCCGAGGAUGGGUCCGCGGCGGAUUAGCUAGUUGGUGGGGUAACGGCCCACCAAGGCGACGAUCCGUAGCUGGUCUGAGAGGACGAACAGCCACACUGGGACUGAGACACGGCCCAGACUCCUACGGGAGGCAG
Molecule: ribosomal RNA, 239 nt
Filed under: uncultured bacterium
Lineage: Bacteria
Description: partial 16S ribosomal RNA
Rfam family: Bacterial small subunit ribosomal RNA
Source: RNAcentral